GGCUGGUCCGAUGGUAGUGGGUUAUCAGAACUUAUUAACAUUAGUGUCACUAAAGUUGGUAUAUAACCCCCCACUGCUAAAUUUGACUGGCUUUUA
RNAcentral lists this Y RNA (96 nucleotides) under Sapajus apella (tufted capuchin). RNAcentral's name for it is "Cebus apella (Tufted capuchin) Y RNA". It matches the Rfam family "Y RNA". From Rfam's summary of the family: Y RNAs are components of the Ro ribonucleoprotein particle (Ro RNP), in association with Ro60 and La proteins. The Y RNAs and Ro60 and La proteins are well conserved, but the function of the Ro RNP is not known. Lineage: Eukaryota; Metazoa; Chordata; Mammalia; Primates; Cebidae. RNAcentral also lists the same sequence under 1 other name. The record is from Rfam by way of RNAcentral.